Molecule: ribosomal RNA, 907 nt
Filed under: uncultured crenarchaeote
Lineage: Archaea; Thermoproteati; Thermoproteota
Description: bacterial SSU rRNA
Rfam family: Archaeal small subunit ribosomal RNA
Source: RNAcentral
ACCCUACUGCUAUCGGGGUGGGACUAAGACAUGCGAGUCGUGCGUCUCUAAGCUAUGGUAGAGACGCGGCGUACGGCUCAGUAACACGUGGCUAACCUACCCUUGGGACGGAGACAACCCCGGGAAACUGGGGCUAAUACCCGAUAGGUGAAGAGGCCUGGAAUGGUUCUUCACCGAAAAGACGUUGAAACCAUGCUUUUCAACGUUGCCUAAGGAUGGGGCCGCGCCCGAUCAGGUUGUUGGUGGGGUAACGGCUCACCAAGCCUUUGACCGGUACGGGCCGUGAGAGCGGGAGCCCGGAGAUGGGCACUGAGACAAGGGCCCAGGCCCUACGGGGCGCAGCAGUCGCGAAAACUCCGCAAUGCGCGAAAGCGUGACGGGGCUACCCCGAGUGUCGUCCGCUGAGGAUGACUUUUCCCUGGUGUAAGGAGCCGGGGGAAUAAGGAGAGGGCAAGUCUGGUGUCAGCCGCCGCGGUAAUACCAGCUCUCCGAGUGGUAGGGACGAUUAUUGGGCUUAAAGCGUCCGUAGCCGGCCCAGCAAGUCUCCCGUUAAAUCCAGCGACCUAAUCGUUGGGCUGCAGGAGAUACUGUUGGGCUAGGAGGCGGGAGAGGCCGACGGUAUUCCCGGGGUAGGGGUGAAAUCCUAUAAUCCCGGGAGGACCACCAGUGGCGAAGGCUGUCGGCUAAAACGCGCUCGACGGUGAGGGACGAAAGCUGGGGGAGCGAACCGGAUUAGAUACCCGGGUAGUCCCAGCUGUAAACGAUGCGGGCUAGGUGUUGGGGUGGUUACGAGCCACCUCAGUGCCGCAGGGAAGCCAUUAAGCCCGCCGCCUGGGAAGUACGGCCGCAAGGCUGAAACUUAAAGGAAUUGGCGGGGGAGCACCACAAGGCGUGAAGCUUGCGGUUU